This 276-nucleotide long non-coding RNA is filed under the name Linum usitatissimum (flax). Its description in RNAcentral is "long non-coding RNA (LUSI_LNC004176)". Lineage: Eukaryota; Viridiplantae; Streptophyta; Magnoliopsida; Malpighiales; Linaceae. The record is from RNAcentral.
CCACACAUAGCCAAAAAGGCUUUACAUGUGCCCCAUAAUAUCGUAUCCCCUUUCUUUGAAGCCUUCAUUUGAUCACGUGUACAUAAGUGGUAUGUAACUCGGUCGACUCUAGGAGUCAAUAAAGUUGUUAAGUUGAGUAAUUAUAGGAUUAUCUAGUCUCCCUAAAUAGUAGUUUGUGUAUUGCUUUUGGUUAUUCAAAAAAGAAAAGAAAAUAAGAAAAGACCCAGUCUCUGAGAUAACAAGAAAAAGAAAUAAAAGGAAGAAAAUUCAAAAAUA